AUCUCUUUGCCUUUUGGCUUAGAUCAAGUGUAGUAUCUGUUCUUUUCAGUGUAACAACUGGAAUGUUCUCAUUGAGAACUUUUAUAUUGUUACCUUUAUUUUUGGAUUACGGUGAUGGUUUCUUAAUGGGCUUGCUCAUUGAUUCUUGUCACAUAGUGUCGUUGCCAUUGCACUGUGUUUUGGCUUCUGACGCAAACCCCC
This is a small nuclear RNA of 201 nucleotides. It matches the Rfam family "U2 spliceosomal RNA". From Rfam's summary of the family: U2 is a small nuclear RNA (snRNA) component of the spliceosome (involved in pre-mRNA splicing). Complementary binding between U2 snRNA (in an area lying towards the 5' end but 3' to hairpin I) and the branchpoint sequence (BPS) of the intron results the bulging out of an unpaired adenosine, on the BPS, which initiates a nucleophilic attack at the intronic 5' splice site, thus starting the first of two transesterification reactions that mediate splicing.